UGGGGAAUUAGCUCAGCUGGGAGAGCACCUGCUUUGCAAGCAGGGGGUCAUCGGUUCGAACCCGAUAUUCUCCAU
Molecule: transfer RNA, 75 nt
Filed under: Oenococcus oeni
Lineage: Bacteria; Bacillati; Bacillota; Bacilli; Lactobacillales; Lactobacillaceae
Also listed under: 1 other name
Description: tRNA-Ala
Rfam family: tRNA
About the family: Transfer RNA (tRNA) molecules are approximately 80 nucleotides in length. Their secondary structure includes four short double-helical elements and three loops (D, anti-codon, and T loops).
Source: RNAcentral